CUUCAGGAAAGUGCGCGCAGAUUCAAAUAAUUGAAUGUUGCACAAUCAUUGGAUGAAUCAUGCCGGGCAGAGACGAUCUUGACCAAUGAUAUUGUUUGACUUCAUGGGGGGCUGUGCUAACGUCAAACUCAUCUCGACGCAGAGACAGUGUGGAUAAUAAUGUAACGCAGGAGUCAGGACUUUUCCACGAUGAUUCACAUUCAGCUUUCACUUAAGGCAAGAUGGAAGAAAGGAGGAUACCAAGAUAAGAAGCUCAAGAAGAUAAAGAAAGCUAAAUUUGACAAGGAUCAACAGACCAGACAGCUCUCCCACAGCCAGCCUGAGAACCUGCUUUACGGUCUGUAUAGCCUGGGUGAAGUUGAAGACUCGUGCAUCAGAUGGCUGAGAAAAGGAUAGCCCAGAGCAAGAGGGAGCCCAGCAGAGGCUAAGAAGGAGGCAGCAAAUGAGUUCACAAACCCACAUACAGCUAA
This is a long non-coding RNA of Sander lucioperca (pikeperch), 470 nucleotides long. RefSeq lists it as uncharacterized. The record is from RefSeq and is a predicted model, not a curated record. The transcript is spliced from 3 exons. NCBI's taxonomy places the organism in Eukaryota, Metazoa, Chordata, Actinopteri, Perciformes, Percidae.